UUUGAGCUUUUCAACCUUGCGAUGCUAGUUCGGCAGUCUUGGCGUUUACUCUAGAACCCAAAUACAUUGAGUGCACGAAUCCUCAAAAGUGUCUAUUACCCAACAACCAACAUUCUGCAUGCCACCCUGGGAGGACAUCCAAGCCAAGUUUGGAGAGCAAUUGUUGAAGAUAGAGACACGCUCAAGCAAGGACUGAUCCGUCGGAUAGGUAAUGGAGAAACUACACACAUUUGGGAGGAUACAUGGUUACCCAGUGAUGAGAUGCUUAGGCCCUACCGGUGCUGA
Molecule: ribosomal RNA, 285 nt
Filed under: Triticum aestivum (bread wheat)
Lineage: Eukaryota; Viridiplantae; Streptophyta; Magnoliopsida; Poales; Poaceae
Description: partial small subunit ribosomal RNA
Source: RNAcentral